UUCUGAUUCACCUUCCGUCGAUCACCGUCUUGGAGAAAAUGUCAGCUUAUUUGUGGAAAAGCUUCGACGAGGAUGAAGAUCGACCCGAGAAGCCGCGGCGAUGUGGAGUUACAGAGAUGAGAGGCCCUCAUUAUACUCUUUCGAGCCAAAAUGUUAUUCAGGAAAUUUUCGAGUCUGUGGGUCAAUUUGUCGAUGGGUUAAAGUUCUCCGGGGGUUCUCACAGCCUAUUGCCGAGGGAUUUUAUGAAAGAGGUGACGGAAAUGGCUCAUCGACAUGACAUCUAUGUCAGUACGGGUGACUGGGCGGAGCAUUUACUACGCAAAGGUCCAUCUGGUUUCAAAGAGUAUGUGGAGGAAUGUAAGCUCUUAGGAUUUGACACUGUUGAGCUCAACGUGGGAUCACUUGAAGUUCCUGAAGAAACUCUUCUGAGAUACGUGCGUUUGAUUAAGAACGGUGGCCUUAGGGCUAAGCCUCAGUUCGCAGUGAAGUUCAACAAGUCCGACAUUCCCAUCAGUGGCAAUCGAG
RNAcentral lists this unclassified non-coding RNA (525 nucleotides) under Hevea brasiliensis (rubber tree). The record is from RNAcentral. Lineage: Eukaryota; Viridiplantae; Streptophyta; Magnoliopsida; Malpighiales; Euphorbiaceae.